Molecule: ribosomal RNA, 481 nt
Filed under: uncultured bacterium
Lineage: Bacteria
Description: bacterial SSU rRNA
Rfam family: Bacterial small subunit ribosomal RNA
Source: RNAcentral
GGGGAUGGGUAACCGAUGUCGGAUUAUUGGGCGUAAGCGCGCGCAGGCGGUUUCUUAAGUCUGAUGUGAAAGCCCCCGGCUCAACCGGGGAGGGUCAUUGGAAACUGGGGAACUUGAGUGCAGAAGAGGAGAGUGGAAUUCCACGUGUAGCGGUGAAAUGCGUAGAGAUGUGGAGGAACACCAGUGGCGAAGGCGACUCUCUGGUCUGUAACUGACGCUGAGGCGCGAAAGCGUGGGGAGCGAACAGGAUUAGAUACCCUGGUAGUCCACGCCGUAAACGAUGAGUGCUAAGUGUUAGAGGGUUUCCGCCCUUUAGUGCUGCAGCAAACGCAUUAAGCACUCCGCCUGGGGAGUACGGUCGCAAGACUGAAACUCAAAGGAAUUGACGGGGGCCCGCACAAGCGGUGGAGCAUGUGGUUUAAUUCGAAACAACGCGAUGAACCUUACCAGGUCUUGACUCCCUCUUACAACCCUAAAGAUU